AGCGAACGCUGGCGGCAGGCCUAACACAUGCAAGUCGAACGAACUCUUCGGAGUUAGUGGCGGACGGGUGAGUAACACGUGGGAACGUGCCUUUAGGUUCGGCAUAACUCAGGGAAACUUGUGCUAAUACCGAAUGUGCCCUUCGGGGGAAAGAUUUAUCGCCUUUAGAGCGGCCCGCGUCUGAUUAGCUAGUUGGUGAGGUAAAGGCUCACCAAGGCGACGAUCAGUAGCUGGUCUGAGAGGAUGAUCAGCCACAUUGGGACUGAGACACGGCCCAAACUCCUACGGGAGGCAGCAGUGGGGAAUCUUGCGCAAUGGGCGAAAGCCUGACGCAGCCAUGCCGGGUGAAUGAUGAAGGUCUUAGGAUUGUAAAAUUCUUUCACCGGGGACGAUAAUGACGGUACCCGGAGAAGAAGCCCCGGCUAACUUCGUG
This 433-nucleotide ribosomal RNA is filed under the name uncultured bacterium. RNAcentral describes it as "partial 16S ribosomal RNA". It matches the Rfam family "Bacterial small subunit ribosomal RNA", at positions 29 to 507 of the family's 1533-position model. The record is from RNAcentral.